CCUACGGGGGGCAGCAGUGGGGAAUAUUGCACAAUGGGGGAAACCCUGAUGCAGCGACGCCGCGUGAGUGAAGAAGUAUUUCGGUAUGUAAAGCUCUAUCAGCAGGGAAGAAAAUGACGGUACCUGAUUAAGAAGCCCCGGCUAACUACGUGCCAGCAGCCGCGGUAAUACGUAGGGGGCAAGCGUUAUCCGGAUUUACUGGGUGUAAAGGGAGCGUAGACGGUGAUGCAGUCAGAAGUGAAAGCCCGGGGCUGAACUCCGGGACUGCUUUUGACACUGUGUGACUGGAGUGCAGGAGAGGUAAGCGGAAUUCCUGGUGUAGCGGUGAAAUGCGUAGAUAUCAGGAGGAACACCAGUGGCGAAGGCGGCUUACUGGACUGUAACUGACGUUGAGGCUCGAAAGCGUGGGGAGCAAACAGGAUUAGAUACCCGAGUAGUC
Molecule: ribosomal RNA, 439 nt
Filed under: uncultured bacterium
Lineage: Bacteria
Description: partial 16S ribosomal RNA
Rfam family: Bacterial small subunit ribosomal RNA
Source: RNAcentral